RNAcentral lists this ribosomal RNA (440 nucleotides) under uncultured bacterium. RNAcentral describes it as "bacterial SSU rRNA". It matches the Rfam family "Bacterial small subunit ribosomal RNA", at positions 338 to 770 of the family's 1533-position model. The record is from RNAcentral.
CCUACGGGAGGCAGCAGUGGGGAAUAUUGGACAAUGGGGGAAACCCUGAUCCAGCAAUGCCGCGUGUGUGAAGAAGGCCUGCGGGUUGUAAAGCACUUUCAGUAGGGAAGAAAAGCCUGGCGCUAAUACCGUCGGGUCUUGACGUAACCUACAGAAGAAGCACCGGCUAACUCCGUGCCAGCAGCCGCGGUAAUACGGAGGGUGCAAGCGUUAAUCGGAAUUACUGGGCGUAAAGCGCGCGUAGGCGGUUUGGUAAGUCGGAUGUGAAAGCCCUGGGCUCAACCUGGGAAUUGCAUUCGAUACUGCCUGACUCGAGUAUGGUAGAGGGAAGUGGAAUUUCCGGUGUAGCGGUGAAAUGCGUAGAUAUCGGAAGGAACACCAGUGGCGAAGGCGACUUCCUGGGCCAAUACUGACGCUGAGGUGCGAAAGCGUGGGGAGCA